Long non-coding RNA from Mobula hypostoma (lesser devil ray), 471 nucleotides. RefSeq lists it as uncharacterized. Lineage: Eukaryota; Metazoa; Chordata; Chondrichthyes; Myliobatiformes; Myliobatidae. The record is from RefSeq and is a predicted model, not a curated record. The transcript is spliced from 3 exons.
AGAACAGACUGCUCUUACGCAACUGCUAGAAUUAAAUACCUACAACAUAGCAAUCAAAUCUGAACCUGGGCAUUACAUAAAUGUUUUGAUAGACAGGGACUGAUUAGCGAUACUCAACAUGAAUUGCGUAUGGUGAAAACAGAAAAUGCUGGCAAUUCUCACAGGACUGGUGACAUCGGCAGGAAGAGAAACAGAGUUAAUGUUCAGUUUGAAGAUCCUUCAUUGGAACUUUGCAUCCAGAUACACAAAUUGGCCCUCACAAUGCUGACUCUUUUGAAAAAGUGCCUAUGCUGCCAUCCUCAGGUCUAGUCAUUCAUUACAUCUUUAAUUCCCUGUAAGUUGAUGCUGCAGUGAUCUAUCUCCUGAACUGGCGAAUGGGAAAUCACAGAGGAGGACCACGAAUGCAAUAUGCAUGUCAUUUUAUCCUGAUUCUUACUAAUUGUAUUGUCAGCUGAUUUAGACUAUGCUAGA